AUGAUUAAUUGGCUAAGCAUUGUUGUUAGCGACAUGAAGAGAGAGGAUGCUUGUGAUUUUUGGAAAACCAUGUGUCUCUGUUGGAGGCAUUAUGUUGAUCCAAAAUGGGCAGAAAAAUCAAUGAGUGGGCAUUCGGAUCCCAAGGAUCUUAAAAAAAUAUUCUAUGAAUCAGUACUGUAUAAUGUUUCACAAUCACAUAUGGUAUUCAUUCCAGUCUUUCAUGAUCACCAAUGGACUUUAUACGCUUUCAACAUGUGUGAUCAGAAGCUCAGUAUUCUGGACUCUCGACCAGAUACCACCAAAGGUGUUGAUCCCACCGAGCGUCACCAGGAAACAAGAUGCAACAUCUGUGAUGCACUUACCGUAACCAUGAACUAUGCAAUUAAUUUUCGUAGCUGGGAGUACCAGUUUCCCAAAGUACCUAGACAACAGGACAGUUAUAGUUUGGAUAGUGGAUUUUUUGUAUUCAAUUUCAUGCGCUUGUGGGAUGGACAUCAACUUGUUCGAUGGUUUCCGAUUGAAUCAACGGAGCUGCGGAAGGAUUUUCUGGCAUACAUAGUCUUGUGCAAGGAACAUCUGCCCGGAAACAAGGAACAUCUGCCCGGAAACAAGGAACAUCUACCCGGUAACAAUGAGCAUCUUCCCGAUAACAAUGAACAUCUGCCUGAUAACAGUGAACAUCUGCCUGUUAAAGUUCUGAUUAAUAAACUUCCUGGGAUGAUGAUGGAUUGCACAAUACAGGAUGUUGCGAGUGGUAUUGCGGCAGUUCGAAAGGGCCCAGAUGUAGAAACGCCUGAUCAAGAAUUCUCUGAUUUCCUCAAUAACUGUCAUCGAGUCACCUCCGACGGUGACGGGGUGUUUCACAUCGCUGCAAGGUUUCACAACGUUGGAACAGUGAGGGAAAUGAAUACGAGGGCCAGAGAAGUCGCAGGAGCGCUCUUAGCAGCAGCGAACGACAGAGGAGAUACAACACUGCAUUGUGCGGCUGCUGGAGGGAGCGAUGUUAUGGUCAAUUAUAUUUUGGACGAUAUGAUGCCACAUAUGAAUCAAGUUACUAUGACCAAGUUUCUGAGUGCCCAAAAUCUCAAAGGAGAGACGUGCUUGCACGAGGCAGUGCGCCACGGACAUGUGGAGAUUGUGAAGAAACUUAUUAAGAAGGACUUGGAACUUGCCGAAGUUGGCAGGCUCAUGCUGGUGCAGAUAGUGGACAAUGAGGAUAUAUCUCCACUCUACUUGGCUACCACUUUACGAAGGGUUGCUAUUGUUCGGGAGCUCACAGAAAGGCCAGACGAGCAAGAUGAUAUGUAUAUGGCGUCCUGGAAAGGACCUGCAGGGAAAACAGCGUUGCAUGCUGCUGUGGUUCUCCUAGACAAAGGGCUGGUUAAGACUCUGCUGAACUGGAAUGGAGGUCUUACUAAGCAGGUAGAUGAUGAAUCUGGGAGCACUCCUCUGCACUUUUUGGCAUCGCUCUCCUUCCAACGCAGGGAACGCAAUAGUAUCGUGCAAUACCGCUACAAGAGGCUGCAUUUCUUGACUUAUCUAAGGGAGUAUCUACGUUGCAAACCAGCCCAAGACUCUAGUAUCGUGAAACUUGUUAUGGGUGAACGUCAAGAUUCUGCCUUGCAUGCAGACUUUUCAGGAUCAGUGCCCAUACACAUAGCUGCUGCGCAUGGGAGACUUGAUAUUGUUACUAAGUUGCUUGAGGAGUGUCCCUAUUGUGAGUCAUCACGCAAUGCUUCUGGCCAGACGUUUCUUCAUGUCGCAGUCGAGAAAGAAAAGCUUGACAUUGUAAAAUAUGUUUGUAAAGCAAAGAAAUUCAACAAAAUUCUGAACGCAGAGGAUCAAGAUGGGAAUACAGCCCUUCAUCUGGCUGUAAUUAAGGCAAGUGAGAAUGCCGUAAAUACCACAAGUGAGAAAAUCUUCUGUACUUUAAUGUCGACCACGGAUGUUGGCCUCAGUUUUGCAAACAAGGAGGGGUACACGCCUCUUGAUCUAGCAUUCUUGAGCCUUCACCCGGAAGUGAUCUGCAUGAAGGGGCCUCGGGAAUGGAUAUAUUUCGACUUGUUAAACAGCAGUGGUGAAUUCGGUGUCGGUGGUUGGGACCGCCUGGCCGGAGAUCUCGUUGAACCAGACUGGGAGAAGGAAUCAGAAAGAGUAGGCAAGUCGGCGUCCAUGCUGGCCCUGUCAGUGCUCAUCCUGAACGCAUCAUUCUUGGUACCCUUCAGCGUGCUUAACCGCAUGGACAAAUGGGGAGUUGAUCUGGACCAACUGCAGGGUGCUCGUGCGAUUCUGUUCCAAACCUUCGUGGUUUUCGAUUCCAUUGCAUUUGCUUGCUCUAUCAUGGCCACUUAUUUCUGCGCCUCCGCGGGCUUUGCCAUGCUGGAUGGCCUGGCACGCCUGAAGAACCUGAUGAGCUGA
RNAcentral lists this ribosomal RNA (2418 nucleotides) under Triticum aestivum (bread wheat). RNAcentral describes it as "partial small subunit ribosomal RNA". Lineage: Eukaryota; Viridiplantae; Streptophyta; Magnoliopsida; Poales; Poaceae. The record is from RNAcentral.